Molecule: ribosomal RNA, 429 nt
Filed under: Pseudomonadota bacterium
Lineage: Bacteria; Pseudomonadati; Pseudomonadota
Description: Proteobacteria bacterium partial 16S ribosomal RNA
Rfam family: Bacterial small subunit ribosomal RNA
Source: RNAcentral
UGGGGAAUAUUGGACAAUGGGCGAAAGCCUGAUCCAGCCAUGCCGCGUGUGUGAAGAAGGUCUUCGGAUUGUAAAGCACUUUAAGUUGGGAGGAAGGGCAGUAAGCGAAUACCUUGCUGUUUUGACGUUACCGACAGAAUAAGCACCGGCUAACUCUGUGCCAGCAGCCGCGGUAAUACAGAGGGUGCAAGCGUUAAUCGGAAUUACUGGGCGUAAAGCGCGCGUAGGUGGUUCGUUAAGUUGAAUGUGAAAGCCCCGGGCUCAACCUGGGAAAGGGAUCCAAAACUGGAGAGCUAGAGUAGGGCAGAGGGUGGUGGAAUUUCAUGUGUAGCGGUGAAAUGCGUAGAUAUAGGAAGGAACACCAGUGGCGAAGGCGACCACCUGGGCUCAUACUGACACUGAGGUGCGAAAGCGUGGGGAGCAAACAGG